This is a long non-coding RNA of Triticum dicoccoides, 2906 nucleotides long. RefSeq lists it as uncharacterized. Lineage: Eukaryota; Viridiplantae; Streptophyta; Magnoliopsida; Poales; Poaceae. The transcript is spliced from 2 exons. The record is from RefSeq and is a predicted model, not a curated record.
CCUUAAUCACUGGUGUGAGCGGCGGAAGGGAUGGCGACGACGAAGAUUGAUUAUAGUAGUUCUUAAUUAUGAGAUCCAGUCGACAGGUUCCGGUUGCCAGAUCUCGGAGAUGUUGAGUGCACGGCGGAAGGUCUGCCGGAGCCAAAUCUGUUGGACACGGCUGCCGAGUCCAUGGGCGACACGCCGCCGGCACUCCAUGUAGACCUGAACAGCACCUGCGAUGGCUUGAGUUUGUCGGCUCCCGACUCGGAGCAGUCAACGGGCAAAGACAACCGUCAAGCGCCUGGAUAGAAGAAGAGGUAACUCAACUCAUAUGGUGUCCGUGCAGUACAGUUGACACAACGUUGGUGUGAGGGCAGAGUGCGGUUCGUACAACUGAAAAUGUUGUCAUUGCUGCUCGGUUCGUGUUGGCCAUGCACCUGUUGAACGGCCACCAGAGGAAAUGCAGAGAAGAAGACUGACACAGUUGUAGUCCCUGAAGUUGGAGGCAGAGAGUUGUAGUGCCUGAAGUUAGAAGCAGUCAGUUGUAGUGCUUGAGCUUAUCAGUUUCAGACUAAUGAAAAAGCUUUGGAAUAUUGAAAAAUGGCGAACUGUGUAAAUGAUACUAACUGACAUAGAAUUCAGAGAGUUUUGAUUCAGGUGUGUAUUCUGGACCUACUUAGAGACAACUGAAUGCUUCAAGGUACGUGUUGGAAAGGCACAAAGAACUAUGACUUAUGUGUUAGGUUUGAUGUGUUCUACAUGGUAUGGUUCUGUCCAUAAAUAGAGAAAUUAGGGCUUUCUUCGGUUAGCACACAUGUAAUCAGAAAUAAGGUGGGCAAUUCAGAGCAAACUUGAAAGCCCUUUUUUCUUUGAUGCUACAACACUUUUGUUUUAGAAGAAAACACUCACUUGUGUUUUUAGAAGAAAAAACUGUAUAUGUUCCAGGGGAAGAAUUUGCAAAAAAUAGUCACUAUAAAAUUAGUGGUACAAGGUUGAUGAUUGCAGAAGACACUUUCAAAGUCGAUGAAAAAUUGUAUCCGACCGUCGUCACAUGUUGACCAAGUGGUUUACUGAAAACUCUGUAGUUCGGACUUGUGAGCCUAAUAGUCAUUAAUCUAAUAAAUAAUUUGUAAAUGGUAGGAUUCUUCUCCUUGAUCAACAUGAGAAAUCCAUUCUUCUUUCGUACUACAACAUGUGUGUUUGGAAAACAAGCAUGCCUUAUAUUGUUCUGUAUUUAUGUGCAGUCUAUCUGCUGUCAUAUUACUAUGAAAAAGAUCAUAUAUGUUCCAUUUGUCGACCUCUAUUCAACUCAUCUAUGCCCAGGAGCUCGGGCAAACCUUUUUUAGUCCAAUAUCUCUGGACUACCAAGGUUUCAAGAGCACCAGGGUUUGUCAUGUUUGUAUACAUUGUUCAUAUUCACCUUGCCCAUGAUAUGAUUUAUAACUGUAACUCUAUAUCUGAGAAUAAAACUGGUUGUUCCAUUGCAAUAUGACAAUUAUGAUUUAUAGCUGUUUAUACUCCAUAGGCCUUCGAGCCAUGGUCUAUGACAGAAUACCAAAGUGAAUUAAUUAGGUAUGUAACUAGAGUAAAUCAUAGCACAUCUCAUUUUCAUGGUUCCGUAGCGUAGCACAGGCACCUUGCUAGUAAUGUCUUUGCAGGUGAGAUCAUUUUGGGAGCAGUAGUUGAUCGGUCGCAAUGUAAUUGUUGUAGGUGCUGGAUUUCCUUGGCUUUGAAGAAAUACCUGUGAAGCACAUAUUGAAGAGGUGGACGAGGGAUGCGAGGGACGUGCAGAAAAGACUAGAUGACCAUCAACUCGAUAAUAACCCGGCAUCUUGUGACAAGGCGAUGGAGCUCCUUAAGUAUACAAUGCACAUUCUUACACCUAUCAAUGCAGAGCAAGAUGGCACGGGACUAGAAGAUUUCACUGCUUUAGCCAGAGCUGCUGUGCGCAAAGGCAGCGACAGUCAGGCUUGCCAUGAUGCUUGAUGUCAACAUCAUUUGAAAGCCAUACAUGAUGAUCAAUUAUGUUUGUAUUGCAGGUUCUUGAUUUCUUGGGUAUAGACAAGAUACCAUCAAAACACAUCUUCGAGAGGUGGACAAAAGGUGCAAGAGAUAUACUUCCACAACACUUGGCACACCUGCAGAAAGAACAGAUUUCAGUUAACUCCAUUACAUUCAGGCAUUCAAAUCUAUAUACCCAUGCUUUGGAGGUCGUCAAACAUGGUGACGCAAACCCAAUUGCAUAUGAUUGUACAAUGGAGCUUCUUAGGGCAGCAAUGGAUAAACUAACGCCUUUAGCUGAUGAUCAUGGUGGACUGGGUUUAGACCAUAGAAUUGAGUUCAACAAGGCAAAAGGUACAUAAUUAAGUGUGUUGCAUGGACCACAGGAUGGAUACAGGAGUGAUGCUGAAGGUAGUGCAUUUGGAAAUUUCAUUGGUUUAGUAGCUCCGAAACGCAAACGGAAAGCCGAUCAACCAACCAACAGCAGAGGCAAGCCUCCAUAUGAUGAUCGCGGUGCAAAGAGCAAAAAAUGGAAGGUGGUGGUACAUCUGGAUACUAUUGUAGGAUAUAGUACAAGCAAACGAACACGCUUCUGCGCUAUAUGUCGUGGACCAGGGCACAAGAGCACGACAUGUCCACAGAGGGGUGACCUCCCUCAAAAGAAAAGGAAAGAAGCUAGGUGCUCAAUCUGCGGAGUGGGAGGGCAUCGAAAGAACACCUGCAACAAUCCCAAGAUUGUCUUACAUGGUGCCGAGAAAGCUGCUCCUGAACAUCCUGUGGAACUGUGAUAAAUGUGUACAAGCAGGAAGCAUCCUGUGUGUAACUGAAUUCUCUGUUUUUCCCUUGUAUGAUAGAGUGCUCUGUAGCCAGAGGUGUGGAAAUAAAUUAUGUACUAUGAGAUUAGUAAUUUGUAUUUCUCUGAA